RNAcentral lists this ribosomal RNA (444 nucleotides) under uncultured soil bacterium. RNAcentral describes it as "bacterial SSU rRNA". It matches the Rfam family "Bacterial small subunit ribosomal RNA", at positions 35 to 464 of the family's 1533-position model. The record is from RNAcentral.
GCUGGCGGCGUGCCUAACACAUGCAAGUCGAACGCGAAAGGGGCUUCGGCUCUGAGUAGAGUGGCGAACGGGUGAGUAACACGUGGGUGACCUACCUUCGAAUGGGGGAUAACGUCCCGAAAGGGACGCUAAUACCGCAUAACAUCCUGUCUUUGAAGAGAUGGAGAUCAAAGCUGGGGAUCGUAAGACCUGGCGUUUGAAGAGGGGCCCGCGUCCGAUUAGCUAGUUGGUGAGGUAAUGGCUUACCAAGGCGACGAUCGGUAGCCGGCCUGAGAGGGCGGACGGCCACACUGGGACUGAGACACGGCCCAGACUCCUACGGGAGGCAGCAGUGGGGAAUUGUUCGCAAUGGGCGCAAGCCUGACGACGCAACGCCGCGUGGAGGAUGAAGGUCUUCGGAUUGUAAACUCCUGUUGCCCGGGACGAAACGCUCUGACCUAACAC